Molecule: long non-coding RNA, 244 nt
Filed under: Elaeis guineensis (African oil palm)
Lineage: Eukaryota; Viridiplantae; Streptophyta; Magnoliopsida; Arecales; Arecaceae
Description: long non-coding RNA (EGUI_LNC079636)
Source: RNAcentral
GCAAGUACUUAGAUUGGAUUGAUCACUAGACUGUCUCAUCAUAGAAGCAAGAAGGAUUUAAAGGUUCUCUCUUUUUAUUUGAUGGGGUACUCUUAUGGUAUGUAGGAGUGCUAUGUGAUUAGAUCCCAUAAAGAAGAAUGCGAAAGGAAGAACUUAUUUUUCUACAAAAUCCUAGAUCUUGAAAUCUUAGGUUUGUUGUAUGUGAUGCAAAAUUGUAUAAAAAAUAAAAUAUCUAAUCUAUAUG